GAUGAACGCUGGCGGCGUGCCUAAUACAUGCAAGUCGAGCGAACAGACGAGGAGCUUGCUCCUCUGACGUUAGCGGCGGACGGGUGAGUAACACGUGGAUAACCUACCUAUAAGACUGGGAUAACUUCGGGAAACCGGAGCUAAUACCGGAUAAUAUAUUGAACCGCAGGGUUCAAUAGUGAAAGACGGUUUUGCUGUCACUUAUAGAUGGAUCCGCGCCGCAUUAGCUAGUUGGUAAGGUAACGGCUUACCAAGGCAACGAUGCGUAGCCGACCUGAGGGGGUGAUCGGCCACACUGGAACUGAGACACGGUCCAGACUCCUACGGGAGGCAGCAGUAGGGAAUCUUCCGCAAUGGGCGAAAGCCUGACGGAGCAACGCCGCGUGAGUGAUGAAGGUCUUCGGAUCGUAAAACUCUGUUAUUAGGGAAGAACAAAUGUGUAAGUAACUAUGCACGUCUUGACGGUACCUAAUCAGAAAGCCACGGCUAACUACGUG
Molecule: ribosomal RNA, 497 nt
Filed under: uncultured bacterium
Lineage: Bacteria
Description: partial 16S ribosomal RNA
Rfam family: Bacterial small subunit ribosomal RNA
Source: RNAcentral